GACGAACGCUGGCGGCGUGCUUAACACAUGCAAGUCGAACGGAAAGGCCCUGCUUUUGUGGGGUGCUCGAGUGGCGAACGGGUGAGUAACACGUGAGUAACCUGCCCUUGACUUUGGGAUAACUUCAGGAAACUGGGGCUAAUACCGGAUAGGAGCUCCUGCUGCAUGGUGGGGGUUGGAAAGUUUCGGCGGUUGGGGAUGGACUCGCGGUUUAUCAGCUUGUUGGUGGGGUAGUGGCUUACCAAGGCUUUGACGGGUAGCCGGCCUGAGAGGGUGACCGGCCACAUUGGGACUGAGAUACGGACCAGACUCCUACGGGAGGCAGCAGUGGGGAAUAUUGCACAAUGGGCGGAAGCCUGAUGCAGCAACGCCGCGUGCGGGAUGACGGCCUUCGGGUUGUAAACCGCUUUCGCCUGUGACGAAGCGUGAGUGACGGUAAUGGGUAAAGAAGCACCGGCUAACUACGUG
Molecule: ribosomal RNA, 468 nt
Filed under: uncultured bacterium
Lineage: Bacteria
Description: partial 16S ribosomal RNA
Rfam family: Bacterial small subunit ribosomal RNA
Source: RNAcentral